UACGACUACAUAUCAGGCAUAUCAAUAAGCGGAGGAAAAGAAACUAACUAGGAUUCCCUCAGUAACGGCGAGUGAAGCGGGAAGAGCUCAAAUUUGAAAUCUUCAAGGUUUCUACCUUGACGAAUUGUAGUUUAAAGAAGUGUUUUCUGUUGAAGUUUUGGUGAAAAGUUCUUUGGAAUAGGACAUCAUAGAGGGUGAGAAUCCCGUAUUUGACCAUUAUUUUCAGCUGUGUGAUACACUUUCAAAGAGUCGGAUUGUUUGGGAAUGCAGUCCAAAAUGGGUGGUAAAUUUCAUCUAAAGCUAAAUAUUGGCGAGAGACCGAUAGCGAACAAGUACCGUGAGGGAAAGAUGAAAAGAACUUUGAAAAGAGAGUUAAACAGUACGUGAAAUUGUCAAAAGGGAAGCGUUUGACACCAGUGUUGUUUUCUCGAAAAUCAAUUAAAAAUAGUUGGAUUUUGUGUUGUAUUGACCUUAACAGCUUGCUUCACUCUUUUCCAGCUUUUUUAAUGCACUUUUCGUUUAACAAGUCAACAUCAGUUUCUUUUGUUGUAAAAGGGUCAUUGGAAGGUGGCUUUCUCUUCGGAGAAAGUGUUUAUAGCCUUUGAUCUCUGCAAUCGGAGAGACUGAGGUCUGCAGCGUAGAUCCUUCGGGGUUAGAUACAUUUGUGCUAAGCUACAGCUUUUCAUAGACAACUUGUUGACUAUGUUUAGUCUUGUGACUUACCCGCUUAUGCUAUUUUACCUACGCUUAGGAUGUUGAGCGCAUGUCUCUCUCU
Molecule: ribosomal RNA, 775 nt
Filed under: uncultured Neocallimastigales
Lineage: Eukaryota; Fungi; Neocallimastigomycota; Neocallimastigomycetes; Neocallimastigales
Description: partial large subunit ribosomal RNA
Rfam family: Eukaryotic large subunit ribosomal RNA
Source: RNAcentral